This is a long non-coding RNA of Onychostoma macrolepis, 721 nucleotides long. RefSeq lists it as uncharacterized. The record is from RefSeq and is a predicted model, not a curated record. NCBI's taxonomy places the organism in Eukaryota, Metazoa, Chordata, Actinopteri, Cypriniformes, Cyprinidae. The transcript has 4 exons.
UCAGAGCAGUGUGAUGGCCAGCUUGUCCCAAGACACGGUUCUAAUAACUUUUACCUGAGAAGUUAUUGCUGCUUCAUUUCGGAAGAUUAACUUUUCCCUUCUUUAUUCUUCAUAACUCAAGAAUGUGGCGACACACACCCGGGGUUUCGCCGCCUAAACGGUGCAGUGAAGUAGGCUACGUUCGUAUGUACCAAGACCUGAUUAACGGACACUGAAAGCUUAUGAUGUUCGCUGGAUCAGAAGGGCCUAUGAAGGGGCUAUUUGUCAGAGAGGCAUUUCAGAUCUGUUGAAGCACUUUCAUCUCAUCCCGAGUGCUGCCAGGAAGCCCCUGCCCCAGGUACAUCAUCGUCACAAUCACAUUUGACUUCUUGGACUCUUUCUGUGCUUUGAGGCAUAGAGACUGUCAAGCAGAGAGACCAACUAAAACAACUCAACACUUCAAACUGGUUCAAAGCUGCAGUGUAAUCUGUCAACAGAGUCAGAGCCGACUCGCCUGCUUGUUGUUGAAGUCAGGAGCUCUCUGUGAGUUGAUGGAGGAGGUGGAGCCGCGGCGUCUGCUGGUGCUGAGAUAAGGACAUGAGUGACUGAGUCUGGCCGUUGCUGUCUGCAGGUUUGACAUCGGUCCUGUGAUAGCAGGAAGGUACAAAUCACUCAACCGUCCUCUGAUCGCUGGCUGGCUUGACUUGUUGGGCUGCACACAUUAAAGCAAAUAAUUUCAACA